UUAGUGGAAUAUUCAGUCACGGUGCCCAACAUUCCAGGGCAUAGCCCUGCCUUUAGCCGCAGGCAAGUAGAGAUUUUGAGAACAACAACUGAAAUUCACCACAGUUACUGAUCAACCUGGGUUGGCUUAUAUAGGCUCAAAGGUGAUGGCAGUAGCCAAAUCAAGUGCUUUUGGGCAAAGCCAGGGACUGGUCUCCUCACAAUGAGGCCCAGUAUGGAUCUAUUAUCUAGGACAACCAAUCAGACUCCCUGACAGAUUUUUUUUGUUUGUUUUUUUUUCCAGUAAAUUCUGGGAUAACCUGGAGAGUUGAAUGGGCACCAACUUUUCUAUCUGUGGAGAGACACUUUAGGAAGAAUAAAGCUUCAGGAGAAGAAAAAGACAAAAGACGUUGGAGUUGCCUCAUUGAAACCAGCAGCACUAUAGUACUAUCAAUAUGAUAGACACAGAUUUCUACAUAGGGACAAACUGGAGGCAGAGACAGAACGCCCUACAGCUUAAAUCUGAGGAAAGGGAGUGGGAGUAGCAAAUAAGUAGGGAGAGGUAAGAACAUGGGAAAAGAAUCUGUAUCAGGAGAGGUAUUAGCAGAGAUGCGAAAGAGAAAGAAGCAUCAGGAAGAGGAGAAAAGAAAGAAAGAAAUUUUGUGCCUUUACGAUGACAACAAUGAGAUAAAUUGACAAGUUAUAUAUGUAUAUGUGUGUAUAUAUAUUUAAAUGAUAUUUUCCAAACAAAAGUUAUUUCAU
Molecule: long non-coding RNA, 740 nt
Filed under: Macaca mulatta (Rhesus monkey)
Lineage: Eukaryota; Metazoa; Chordata; Mammalia; Primates; Cercopithecidae
Description: lncRNA (ENSMMUG00000063551.1)
Source: RNAcentral